This is a long non-coding RNA of Chelonia mydas (Green sea turtle), 4367 nucleotides long. RefSeq lists it as uncharacterized. The record is from RefSeq and is a predicted model, not a curated record. NCBI's taxonomy places the organism in Eukaryota, Metazoa, Chordata, Testudines, Cheloniidae. The transcript has 3 exons.
GAUCACUGCAACAAAGAAACUACAAUUGAUACUUGGGCACUGCUCUACAGUCACAAGAUGGGUGCUCUUGCAGUAGGCUAUUUCCUAAAAGCUUUAUCAAAUAAAGAAAAACUGAACAAGAGUGCAAAAAAGGAAAAGCAAUCAUUUAAAAGAGGUGACCAACUUAACACCUAGCUCCAGCCAUCUUCAUAUACAACUCAAAUAAGUUCUUCUCCUUCAACAGCUAUAUAAAUACUAACAUGGCUGCUACUCUGAAACCUGACAUUCAAGACUGUAUGGCUUCAUUAACCCAUGGUAUCACAAGGCCACAGCUUCUUUACCAGUUUUUUUGCCAGUGCCUCUAUAAAGAUAGCUGGCACCACACCAACAUGUCCCUGUGAUCAACAAAGGAUCAUGCGCUCAGAGAACAGCUCCUACUCUAACAAUUGUAGCGCAUGCAGUGGAGUGGACCUGUGCAACACACCUCAAAGAACAGUAGUCACGGAAAGAGGUUUCCUGCCUCAUUCAAUGCACAGGAUCAACCUGUUCUGGAGAUGACUCAAGGCUGUCAAGUGAAGGAGGCUGUUUGACGUAGGACCCUACUUCAUUUGUUGCAGAAGUAGGAAGGUGUGUGGUUAAUGAGCCAGGAGAUUGCAAGAAGAGACUUGAUUGUCUCAUCGUUAAGGGAGUUCUACAGAAUGCAUCCGAUGAAGUGAGCUGUAGCUCACAAAAGUUUAUGCUCAAAUAAAUUGGUCAGUCUCUAAGGUGCCACAAGUCCUCCUUUUCUUUUUGCGGAUACAGACGAACAUGGCUGCUACUCUGAAACCUACAGAUCUGGAGAACUGGCUUCGAUCCUUGGUUUUGUCACGGAGUUUGUGUGUGUGAUGCUGUGUAAGUCUCUCAAGUGGCCACUAGUUGCGUUCUCCUCAUUUUCCGGGUACCUGACCUGAGACCCUGGGGUCUGAUUUCCAGAAGUGCUGAGCACUCACAGCUGCACAGAGGUCAAGGGGAGCUGAGCUCUGGAUAUUAUAAUGCUAGGUACUUUGAGGAAACAAUCACAUCCUAGAUGAUUCAAAUUGGGCCCCCAAAACUAGCAGAUACUUCUGAACAUACUUCUGUGCCUCAGCUCCCCACCAGUGACACGAGGAUACUACCACCCUCUUGCAACACCGAGGUGUUGUGAAGAUUAAUUAAAAAUAGUAUGUGAGUGCUUCAAUAACACUUGGGGAGAGGAUAAUAGAAAUGUUUGUGAUAACCUUCUGUCUUUAGAGCAGAGUUUGAGUAGCAUGCAAUAAAUAAGGCAGGGGGCCAUACAUUGAACAGUGAGGCUAAAACAAAAUAAUGAAUACCUGCUCAUUCUGUGAGCAUUAUGGUUCUUGUGCACUGAAUGAGGCAGGCACCUUUGGGGGAGGGGGGGAAGGAGGGGAGCACAAAGUAUGUAAUCAUGUAAUUAAAGACUGUACCUCUGCUUUAUGGUUCAAGGGACACAAGUUAAGUCUAGAGAGGUAACCUAAUUUUAGCAAUUCUUAAUUCUUGCAUGCUUGACUUUAACUAUGCAGUGUGGCUUUUACUAGGGGAACCAUAACUCAGUUUUCUGACUCUUCUGUGUAACUUCACUCUUGUAAAGAUAUCACAUUAGUGUUUUUAUGUCUCCUGCAAGGGAAAAGGUGAUUUAAUAGUCAUAGCAGAAGAGUGAGAAUUAGCAGAUCUUUCUAGCAUUGGCUCUGCCACAGACUCCCUGCAGCAAGGGCCAAGUAACUUCAUCUCAGUUUUAUCAUCUCAGAACAGGGACAAUGCCUACCUCACACAGAUGUUGCAAAGCUUAAUGCAUUGUGUUUGGAAAGUGAUCUGAGAUCUUCAAAAGGGAGAUGCUGCAAGUCUGAAAUAAUGCAAAGUUACACGUUGUAUCACUGUCAAUAGCGAGGGCUAGCACAGCUCUAGCUAUAUUGAGACAAAAACUACCUAAUGCAAACAAGUCCCCCUUAGUAUAUUUACUAGCUACUUACAUAGGAAUCAGAAGCAAUGAACCCAGCGUACAGGACCUUUCAAUUAAUGUUUCAGGUAUUGUACACAGCAUAUUAGGAAAAUCCAACAAAGGCAUUGUAUUUACAUACAUGUGCAAACACAAGGCACAACUGGAGGAAGAGUGAGUCUAUUUUCUAUAAGUUGUAAGUUAAGGUUGCAAAGAGAUGAAAUUGGGAGCAUAAGCACGGUGGCUCUUUCAGUCUGCAGUUAAUCAUUCUUUAGUUUAAUCAAAUACUAUUUUAGGAUCAUAAUUUAGCAAACAGUUAUCACUGAGGGAAUUUGACACUUAUCCUUUGUUGAUAGGGACUUAGGAAUACUUAAGACAAAAAAUCCUUAUCCCCUUCUAUUCCUAACAAACCCCCAACAGACCUCUUUGGCAUGUGUUCUUUCAACUGGAAAACACAUUUUUCCUCUUGCUGCUGUGAUAGCCACACUAUAACCAUGUCUCAAAGCUAAACGGUGUGAAUCUACCACACAGGCUAGAUAAACCCCAUCACUUCAUGUAAAUUAAAGUACAUCUGUGUGUAUAAACUACUUUUAAAAAUUAAGUUAAAAUUAGAAGCAUAGAUGUUUAUUUUGGGAAACUCACAGACCACAAAAUACCUGUGUAGGAGGGUAUAUACACUCUGAUCAGAGUGUAAGAAACCAAAAGUUAACCUCAGUUUGUUACUUUUCAUGUUCCCUCUUCAGUUCAACAGAAAAUGAGAUAACUAUGACUGUUGGAACACUAAGGCAGACCGCCUCUUGAAUUGUAUGUCUGAGGGCAGAGCAAACUUGGUGGAUGGCCCUUAAGUCUGGAAUUCAAUCCCUUCACAGUGGUCCAACAGAAAAUUUGCUAAUCUGCAGGGCACACUGCAAGGCCUCUCUGUUUAACCAGGCUUUUUCCAAUAGGCUGUCUAAUGGAGUUUGUUUGGCAAGGCACAGGUGUGCGUUAUUUGUAUUACAUUAGUUAACAGGGGCUUUAGGAAUGUAUUAUGAUUGGGCUGUAAAUGCAACUAGAUAAUAGCAAUAGGGAAAUCUUAUAAAUGUAAAAAAGCAGAAUUCAAGGAGAAGUCUGUCUGGCAAGAGUUUGAACCUGUGCCAUUUUUUGGUAUCACUGUACUGCUCAGUACUACAAUCUCACUCUUUACUGGUUGUGGCUGGUUUUUUUUUGAGGGGUAAAGUUAAUAGUACCAUUCUGUAUUUAGUACAACACCCCAGGGAAUAAAAGCAGAUUGAUAAAUGCACUUUGUUGUUGGAGGCACUUGGCUUUGGUAUCACUAUGUGCUCUAGUCACCUGUCCCAUUACAUAUUCAUCUGCUCUCCAAUUAACCCAUAAUUUCUUCAUAGUUAGUGUUCUCUUUAGUUAUUUCAAAAUCCAUUCUGACUAGUUAUAUACUAAACAGACUAUCACCUAGAGCAAACUGACCUGGUGUUCAGAGGAGAUGAGAUAUGGGGUAAGACUAGAAUAUUUAAACAUUGUGAUCACUUCUAAAAUACACUACAUCACUAGGGGCUAAAAAAGUAAAUUUCCUCCACCUUCUCAUUCUGGUAAUUAUAAGUAUAUACAGAUGGAAUGCAGUCAAUAAAAUUGGUCUUUAAACUGCCUGAAGCUAAGCACAUUCUCAUAUCCUUAAACCAAAGUUUGAUCCACAAGUGUCUGGGUUCAUUUCCUAAAACCUGACAGGAAAGAAAGAUACCAUUUACCCACACACAACACUGAUUUUUCACGUUUUACUUUCAAUAACUUGAAAAUAUUAGAGGGGAGACCUAGUUUGCAGAAUCACAACCAAGAGCUUCCCCCUUUUUGAUGGCAAAUUAGUGAAGCCGGAACACAGUUAUAACGAGUAAGUGAAUGUUAUUCAGCAUCAUCAUUGCUCUGGAGGGAACGACAGUUGGGACAGUGCUGAGUCACCGCAUAAACCACCUGAGCCAUCACUGAUAUCCGUCCAUGGAGCAGUGCAGACAAUGAAGAUGCAGCCUCUCUUAAUGAUGCACGAGUUACAGCCGCCAAUGCUCCAGUAGUUUCAUACCCUUUCCUUCACAAAUACUACAGCAUGGGAUUUAAGAAAGAUGCUUACAGAAUUCUCCUCCUUCCCAAAACAAAUCAUGGUGUUUGGAAGAACCAACACAUUUCACAUCUGGGUUUUUUGGCAAUGGGCACACCCCAUACAGACCAGCCAUCUGUUCUUAUGAAAAAUGUACCAUUAUUACACAAGAUCUUGUCUCGGCAAUUAAGUUAGCACUUGCACAGUGACAAAAUGGCACCCCGGAUAAGGGCAAAGAGAUUGCACUUCAUUUUAAAAUACAGCACAUUAGUAUUUACUCUUGACUGCUAGUUGUACAAUAUUCUGGAGAUUACAAUUUCUGUUACUAACCUCAGU